AAUUCUCACUUGGACAGACUUGUCACUCCUAAAUGUAUGAAAUCUACUUAUAUUUCAUACAUUUAGGAGUGACAAGUCUAAGUGAGAACCUAUUGAGAAUU
Molecule: non-coding RNA, 101 nt
Organism: Pelobates cultripes (western spadefoot toad)
Lineage: Eukaryota; Metazoa; Chordata; Amphibia; Anura; Pelobatidae
Source: the annotation of a GenBank genome assembly